GGCGGCGUGCUUAACACAUGCAAGUCGAACGAUGAAGCCCCUCGGGGUGGAUUAGUGGCGAACGGGUGAGUAACACGUGGGCAAUCUGCCCUUCACUCUGGGACAAGCCCUGGAAACGGGGUCUAAUACCGGAUAACACUCCUCAGGGCAUCUUGGGGGGUUGAAAGCUCCGGCGGUGAAGGAUGAGCCCGCGGCCUAUCAGCUUGUUGGUGAGGUAGUGGCUCACCAAGGCGACGACGGGUAGCCGGCCUGAGAGGGCGACCGGCCACACUGGGACUGAGACACGGCCCAGACUCCUACGGGAGGCAGCAGUGGGGAAUAUUGCACAAUGGGCGCAAGCCUGAUGCAGCGACGCCGCGUGAGGGAUGACGGCCUUCGGGUUGUAAACCUCUUUCAGCAGGGAAGAAGCGCAAGUGACGGUACCUGCAGAAGAAGCGCCGGCUAACUACGUGCCAGCAGCCGCGGUAAUACGUAGGGCGCAAGCGUUGUCCGGAAUUAUUGGGCGUAAAGAGCUCGUAGGCGGCUUGUCACGUCGGGUGUGAAAGCCCGGGGCUUAACCCCGGGUCUGCAUUCGAUACGGGCUAGCUAGAGUGUGGUAGGGGAGAUCGGAAUUCCUGGUGUAGCGGUGAAAUGCGCAGAUAUCAGGAGGAACACCGGUGGCGAAGGCGGAUCUCUGGGCCAUUACUGACGCUGAGGAGCGAAAGCGUGGGGAGCGAACAGGAUUAGAUACCCUGGUAGUCCACGCCGUAAACGGUGGGAACUAGGUGUUGGCGACAUUCCACGUCGUCGGUGCCGCAGCUAACGCAUUAAGUUCCCCGCCUGGGGAGUACGGCCGC
RNAcentral lists this ribosomal RNA (836 nucleotides) under Streptomyces sp. IM-6863. Its description in RNAcentral is "bacterial SSU rRNA". It matches the Rfam family "Bacterial small subunit ribosomal RNA", at positions 38 to 889 of the family's 1533-position model. The record is from RNAcentral. Lineage: Bacteria; Bacillati; Actinomycetota; Actinomycetes; Kitasatosporales; Streptomycetaceae.